RNAcentral lists this long non-coding RNA (282 nucleotides) under Elaeis guineensis (African oil palm). RNAcentral describes it as "long non-coding RNA (EGUI_LNC000448)". Lineage: Eukaryota; Viridiplantae; Streptophyta; Magnoliopsida; Arecales; Arecaceae. The record is from RNAcentral.
GAGGUGGGGUUGCUCCGGCAAGACCCUCCGACGCUCAAGUCAGUACUCUGCCUCAACAAGAAUGGAGUGCUCGAACGGAGAAUUUAGCAGAGUUUUGAGAUAGAAAAAAGAGCUUAGAGAAUAACGUAUCUGGGUCCCCCUUUUAUAGGCGGAGGAGGCAACGGAUUGAUGGCGACGUUUGUAACCGUCUGGUAGUGGACCGCCCGUAGUCAGGGAAAUUGAUUGCAAAGGAUAGUGGAGUAGACGCGUGGCCAUCACGGAGGCUUGCCACGUGGAAUCUGU